RNAcentral lists this ribosomal RNA (254 nucleotides) under uncultured bacterium. RNAcentral describes it as "partial 16S ribosomal RNA". It matches the Rfam family "Bacterial small subunit ribosomal RNA", at positions 524 to 776 of the family's 1533-position model. The record is from RNAcentral.
CACGUAGGGGGCGAGCGUUGUCCGGAAUCAUUGGGCGUAAAGAGCUCGUAGGCGGCUCGGUAAGUCGGGUGUGAAACCCCCAGGCUCAACCUGGGGACGCCACCCGAUACUGCUGUGGCUAGAGUCCAGUAGGGGAGUGUGGAAUUCCCGGUGUAGCGGUGAAAUGCGCAGAUAUCAGGAAGAACACCAGCGGCGAAGGCGGCACUCUGGGCUGGAAUUGACGCUGAGGAGCGAAAGUGUGGGUAGCAAACAGG